AGUUGCCACUAGGGGUGCCUUCGGGCUGAGAGGCUUCAUGCCAACCCUUUGCACCUGACCUGGAUAAUGCCAGCGGAGGGAAGUGGUCGGUAUAUUUG
Molecule: non-coding RNA, 98 nt
Filed under: Thermincola carboxydiphila JR
Lineage: Bacteria; Bacillati; Bacillota; Clostridia; Eubacteriales; Thermincolaceae
Also listed under: 1 other name
Description: Thermincola potens JR TPP riboswitch aptamer (THI element)
Rfam family: TPP riboswitch aptamer (THI element)
About the family: Vitamin B(1) in its active form thiamin pyrophosphate (TPP) is an essential coenzyme that is synthesised by coupling of pyrimidine and thiazole moieties in bacteria.
Source: Rfam by way of RNAcentral